This 467-nucleotide ribosomal RNA is filed under the name uncultured bacterium. Its description in RNAcentral is "partial 16S ribosomal RNA". It matches the Rfam family "Bacterial small subunit ribosomal RNA", at positions 28 to 507 of the family's 1533-position model. The record is from RNAcentral.
GACGAACGCUAGCGGCGUGCUUAACACAUGCAAGUCGAACGGAAAGGCCCUGCUUUUGUGGGGUGCUCGAGUGGCGAACGGGUGAGUAACACGUGAGUAACCUGCCCUUGACUUUGGGAUAACUUCAGGAAACUGGGGCUAAUACCGGAUAGGAGCUCCUGCUGCAUGGUGGGGGUUGGAAAGUUUCGGCGGUUGGGAUGGACUCGCGGCUUAUCAGCUUGUUGGUGGGGUAGUGGCUUACCAAGGCUUUGACGGGUAGCCGGCCUGAGAGGGUGACCGGCCACAUUGGGACUGAGAUACGGCCCAGACUCCUACGGGAGGCAGCAGUGGGGAAUAUUGCACAAUGGGCGGAAGCCUGAUGCAGCAACGCCGCGUGCGGGAUGACGGCCUUCGGGUUGUAAACCGCUUUCGCCUGUGACGAAGCGUGAGUGACGGUAAUGGGUAAAGAAGCACCGGCUAACUACGUG